RNAcentral lists this ribosomal RNA (429 nucleotides) under Gemmatimonadota bacterium. RNAcentral describes it as "Gemmatimonadetes bacterium partial 16S ribosomal RNA". It matches the Rfam family "Bacterial small subunit ribosomal RNA", at positions 355 to 776 of the family's 1533-position model. The record is from RNAcentral. Lineage: Bacteria; Pseudomonadati; Gemmatimonadota.
UAGGGAAUCUUCGGCAAUGGACGAAAGUCUGACCGAGCAACGCCGCGUGAGUGAAGAAGGUUUUCGGAUCGUAAAACUCUGUUGUUAGAGAAGAACAAGGACGUUAGUAACUGAACGUCCCCUGACGGUAUCUAACCAGAAAGCCACGGCUAACUACGUGCCAGCAGCCGCGGUAAUACGUAGGUGGCAAGCGUUGUCCGGAUUUAUUGGGCGUAAAGCGAGCGCAGGCGGUUUCUUAAGUCUGAUGUGAAAGCCCCCGGCUCAACCGGGGAGGGUCAUUGGAAACUGGGAGACUUGAGUUCAGAAGAGGAGAGUGGAAUUCCAUGUGUAGCGGUGAAAUGCGUAGAUAUAUGGAGGAACACCAGUGGCGAAGGCGGCUCUCUAGUCUGUAACUGACGCUGAGGCUCGAAAGCGUGGGGAGCAAACAGG